UGCAGUCGAGCGGAGUUUUGAAAGCUUGCUUUUCAAAACUUAGCGGCGGACGGGUUAGUAACACGUGGGCAACCUGCCCUUGAGACGGGGAUAACUCCGGGAAACCGGAGCUAAUACCGGAUAACACAUAUCUUCGCAUGAGGAUAUGUUAGAAGGUGGCUUUUAGCUACCACUCAAGGAUGGGCCCGCGGCGCAUUAGCUAGUUGGUGAGGUAACGGCUCACCAAGGCGACGAUGCGUAGCCGACCUGAGAGGGUGAUCGGCCACACUGGGACUGAGACACGGCCCAGACUCCUACGGGAGGCAGCAGUAGGGAAUCUUCCGCAAUGGACGAAAGUCUGACGGAGCAACGCCGCGUGAGUGAUGAAGGUUUUCGGAUCGUAAAGCUCUGUUGUUAGGGAAGAACAAGUACCUGUUAAAUAAGCAGGUACCUUGACGGUACCUAACCAGAAAGCCACGGCUAACUACGUGCCAGCAGCCGCGGUAAUACGUAGGUGGCAAGCGUUGUCCGGAAUUAUUGGGCGUAAAGCGCGCGCAGGCGGUUCCUUAAGUCUGAUGUGAAAGCCCACGGCUCAACCGUGGAGGGUCAUUGGAAACUGGGGAACUUGAGUGCAGAAGAGGAGAGCGGAAUUCCACGUGUAGCGGUGAAAUGCGUAGAGAUGUGGAGGAACACCAGUGGCGAAGGCGGCUCUCUGGUCUGUAACUGACGCUGAGGCGCGAAAGCGUGGGGAGCGAACAGGAUUAGAUACCC
RNAcentral lists this ribosomal RNA (750 nucleotides) under Priestia endophytica. Its description in RNAcentral is "bacterial SSU rRNA". It matches the Rfam family "Bacterial small subunit ribosomal RNA", at positions 56 to 787 of the family's 1533-position model. Lineage: Bacteria; Bacillati; Bacillota; Bacilli; Caryophanales; Bacillaceae. The record is from RNAcentral.